ACGAACCGUGCGAACGUUGUACGGAAUCACUGGGCUUAAAGGGCGCGUAGGCGGGCCUUCAAGUCCGGGGUGAAAUCCUCCAGCCUAACUGGAGAAGAGCCUCGGAGACUGAGGGCCUCGAGGGAGGUAGGGGCAAGCGGAACUAUGGGUGGAGCGGUGAAAUGCAUUGAUAUCCAUAGGAACUCCGGUGGCGAAGGCGGCUUGCUGGACCUCUUCUGACGCUGAGGCGCGACAGCGUGGGGAGCAAACAGGA
RNAcentral lists this ribosomal RNA (253 nucleotides) under uncultured prokaryote. Its description in RNAcentral is "partial 16S ribosomal RNA". It matches the Rfam family "Bacterial small subunit ribosomal RNA", at positions 525 to 777 of the family's 1533-position model. The record is from RNAcentral.